CCUACGGGUGGCAGCAGUGAGGAAUAUUUGUCAAUGGCCGUAAGUCUGAACCAGCCAAGUAGCGUGAGGGAAGACUGCCCUAUGGGUUGUAAACCUCUUUUAUGCGGGGAUAAAGUUGUCCUUGUGUGGAUGUUUGCAGGUACCGCAUGAAUAAGGACCGGCUACUUCCGUUCCAGCAGCCGCGGUAAUACGGAAGGUCCGGGCGUUAUCCGAAUUUAUUUGGUUUAACGGGAGCGUAGGCCGGUCUUUAAGCGUGCCGUGAAGUUUUGUGGCUCAACCAUGAGAGUGCGGCGCGAACUGGAGACCUGGAGUGCGCGGAAGGCAGGCGGAAUUCGUGGUGUAGCGGUGAAAUGCUUAGAUAUCACGAAGAACCCCGAUUGCGAAGGCAGCCUGCCGCAGCGUUACUGACGCUGAAGCUCGAAAGCGCGGGUAUCGAACAGGAUUAGAUACCCCUGUAGUC
Molecule: ribosomal RNA, 460 nt
Filed under: uncultured bacterium
Lineage: Bacteria
Description: partial 16S ribosomal RNA
Rfam family: Bacterial small subunit ribosomal RNA
Source: RNAcentral